This 400-nucleotide ribosomal RNA is filed under the name uncultured bacterium. RNAcentral describes it as "bacterial SSU rRNA". It matches the Rfam family "Bacterial small subunit ribosomal RNA", at positions 355 to 752 of the family's 1533-position model. The record is from RNAcentral.
UAAGGAAUAUUGGUCAAUGGAGGCAACUCUGAACCAGCCAUGCCGCGUGGAGGAUGAAGGCCCUCUGGGUUGUAAACUUCUUUUAUAAGGGAAGAAAUGCCUGUAAUCUUACAGGUUUGACGGUACCUUAGGAAUAAGCACCGGCUAACUCCGUGCCAGCAGCCGCGGUAAUACGGAGGGUGCAAGCGUUAUCCGGAUUCACUGGGUUUAAAGGGUGCGUAGGCGGGUGUGUAAGUCAGUGGUGAAAUCUCCAAGCUUAACUUGGAAACUGCCGUUGAUACUAUACAUCUUGAAUACCCGGGAGGUGAGCGGAAUAUGUCAUGUAGCGGUGAAAUGCUUAGAUAUGACAUAGAACACCAAUUGCGAAGGCAGCUCGCUACAGGGUUAUUGACGCUGAGGC